Molecule: ribosomal RNA, 253 nt
Filed under: uncultured bacterium
Lineage: Bacteria
Description: partial 16S ribosomal RNA
Rfam family: Bacterial small subunit ribosomal RNA
Source: RNAcentral
UACGGGGGGGGCAAGCGUUGUUCGGAAUUACUGGGCGUAAAGGGCUCGUAGGCGGUUUUCUAAGUUUGGUGUGAAAUCUCCCGGCUUAACUGGGAGGGUGCGCCGAAGACUGGAAGGCUUGAGUAUGGGAGAGGUAAGCGGAAUUCCUGGUGUAGCGGUGAAAUGCGUAGAUAUCAGGAGGAACACCUGCGGUGUAGACGGCUUACUGGACCAUAACUGACGCUGAGGCACGAAAGCGUGGGUAGCAAGCAGG